Molecule: ribosomal RNA, 484 nt
Filed under: uncultured bacterium
Lineage: Bacteria
Description: partial 16S ribosomal RNA
Rfam family: Bacterial small subunit ribosomal RNA
Source: RNAcentral
AUUGAACGCUAGCGGGAUGCUUUACACAUGCCAGUCGAACGGCAGCGCGGACUUCGGUCUGGCGGCGAGUGGCGAACGGGUGAGUAAUGUAUCGGAACGUGCCCAGUAGCGGGGGAUAACUACGCGAAAGCGUAGCUAAUACCGCAUACGCCCUACGGGGGAAAGCAGGGGAUCGUAAGAGCUUGCACUAUUGGCGCGGCCGAUAUCGGAUUAGCUAGUUGGUGAGGUAACGGCUCACCAAGGCGACGAUCCGUAGCUGGUUUGAGAGGACGACCAGCCACACUGGGACUGAGACACGGCCCAGACUCCUACGGGAGGCAGCAGUGGGGAAUUUUGGACAAUGGGGGCAACCCUGAUCCAGCCAUCCCGCGUGUGCGAUGAAGGCCUUCGGGUUGUAAAGCACUGUUGGCAGGAAAGAAACGUCGCGGGCUAAUACCCCGUGGAACUGACGGUACCUGCAGAAUAAGCACCGGCUAACUACGUG